GAACGUUCUACUCUGAUGAAAACACUAACGACUCUCUAGUCAAAAGAAUCAAAUGGCCUGGCGUUUGAUGGUUAGCUUCUCCUUCUCCUGUCACCCCGCCUCUCAUUCACACCAUCAGCACGACCACGAUAACCAGAAUAAUGCUCAGGAUUACGCGAUGUAGACCAAUCAGGUCCGUCACCCUGCCUCUCAUUCACACCAUCAGCAUGACCACGAUAACCAGAAUAAUGCCAAGGAUUACUCGAUGCAGACCAAUCAGAUCUGUAGCAGUCUCUCAUAUUCAUCUGAGGUUCUGCAUAGUUCCAUCUUGCUACCUGUUCCUGACGCCUGACAGGUCUAUUAUCAGGCCUCCAAGAUUCAAACCCAGCUCCCUCGGCAUAGUUGGUGUUUCCUCUCCACGUAGCCUGUUGUAAUCCUGGUUCUACAUGCCCGGCAACAUGUGGAUUGUAACGAUUAGGAAUGGCAUUUUCUUG
Molecule: unclassified non-coding RNA, 473 nt
Filed under: Hevea brasiliensis (rubber tree)
Lineage: Eukaryota; Viridiplantae; Streptophyta; Magnoliopsida; Malpighiales; Euphorbiaceae
Source: RNAcentral